AAAAAAUAAAAGAAUUUAAGUUACGGCGAGUCUUGGUUUGGGUAUUGAGGGCCUCAAAAUAGGGAUGGGAAAAAAAAAAAAAAAAUUAUGGCAAGUCGGUCUGAAUCGCAAGAAAGUCUGAAUCACAACAAUUUCUUCUGCAGAAACUAGGGUUUGUGUUGUGUUUGUUUGCUGAUCGUCAUCAAUUUGUAACUAAUCUUGACCAUAUUAUAUAUCGUACUAUGGAUCUUGAUAAAGAACCAGAACCUGAUCUUGAAGAUUACCAAAUAGACCGUUCAUAUAUAAAGAUGAGAGAACAGGCUAAGACUCGGUCGCUAAAGCUAAGGAUAAAGAAUCAAUACUAGAAGGUUACAGAUCUGGUGUGAGGAGCUAUUAUUUUGAAUUUGAAUUUGAAUUUGAAUGCAAAGAAGCCUGGGCCGAAAAAAUGUGGAAGGGAGUAAUAGUAAAACAUGGACGAAUGAAAGGAGAUGCUCGAUUUUGGUGUUUGUGCAGAAAAUGAAGAUAUCAGAGAGUAGCCAUUGAUUCAAUACUGAUGUUGAAGGAAUUCAGAACUCCAUAUCUGUUGAGACCGACUGAUGUUGGUGUGGACUUCAACCAAGAAGUGAUUGUGAUUAGUCAUGAAGGAUUUGAUUCCUAUUUUGUUGAGUGGUUGAAGCUUGGAAACAACAUAGAAGCUGAGAGUCAGCCUUUUUUUGUAAACACAUUCGGCGACUAUGAAUUCAAGGAGUUCUGGAUUGAAUCGAUGAUGAGAUAAGAAUAUUUUUUUAUUUCAAAAAACUCCUUUCUUUAUUUGAGUAGUAUAUUAUAAUAAUACAAUUUUUUAUUAUCAAUUCCAUAAACAUUCUAGAUACAACAGGGUAUCUACACAAAAUGGGUAGAGCCCAUGGAAAUGUUCUCCAUGAUGGCUCAUAUGUUACGCGGAGAGGAAAGAUGCAUCUCAUCAUUCCUUCGAUGGAUGAAAUGAUGGCAGAACAAAACGGAAGACCUUGGAAAUUCAAAAAGUUCAUAUUCCGUCAUAUUGGCCUAAACAAUCAUCCAACUAGGCCUCACGAUUGGAAUCCAUUCUACAAUUACAAGACCUCUAAAGCAUCCUGCUAUUGAAACACCAUUUGUUAUUGAAUGAGAAAGUGAUAUUUCAAUACUUUGUGGCUCUUCGCCAUCAUUUGGGAUAUCAUCACAAGGAUUAUACUUUUAACACUGACCAGAAAAUCAAUCAAAAGUUGAUCAAUCCAUGGGGAAAGGCAAAUUGGAUAGAUAAGGUUCGCAUGGCUCAUAAAAAGUGACAAAUGUGUGUUCCUUAGGUUCUGCAGUAUCAAUAAAAUGAGGCUGGAAGUGUAAACCAAUACAAAUCUUGUAUGUCUGAUUUGGUUCGUUUUGUUGAUAAUACAACCCAUCAUGGUUGUGACCAUGCAAAGAAAUUUAAGGAACUGAUAUAUCUUGAAGAAGAUGUAGCCAUGGAGUUGGGGCACAUAUUUCCAGGCUUUCUCUCAGCCUUCACACAAAGUUUCGAUCGAAGUGUUUGAUUAUCUGAUAAUGUAGCUUCUAAUCUUAAUAUGCUCAGGUACAGUGAUAUAACAUGACUUAGCCAGAAUUUAGUUGUGUUUUCAGUGAUUUUAGUAACACUAUCAGUGGCAAGUGAUGUUUCCUUGGUAUUUUGUCACCAUGGCUUAGACUGUUUUGUUUUCUCUAAUAGUUCUUGAAUGUGAGCCAGAAUUUAGUUGUGUUUCCAGUGAUUUUCUUAACACUAUCAGUGGCAAGUGAUGUUUCCUUGGUAUUUUUUCACCAUGGUUUAGACUGUUUUGUUUUUUCUAAUAGUUCUUGAAUGUGAGCCAGAAUUUAGUUGUGUUUCCAGUGAUUUUAGUAACACUGUCGGUGGCAAGUGAUGUUUCCUUGGUAUUUUGUCACCAUGGUUUAGACUAUUUUGUUUUCUCUAAUAGUUCUUGAAUGUGAGCCAGAAUUUAGUUGUGUUUCCAGUGGUUUUAGUAACACUAUCAGUGGCAAUUGAUGUUUCAUUGGUAUUUUGUCACCAUGGUUUAGACUUUUGUUCUCUCUAAUUGUUCUUGAAUGUGAGACGGACUCUCAUACUUGUUUGUCUUCUAUGCGUGACAUGUGCUUAAAUUAUCCUCAGAAGUGUGUACUGUUCUUGGGACGCGUUCCCUUCCUUCUAAUACAAUUUUACUUAUCAAAAAAAUAAAAAAAAUAUUCUCAGAAGUACACUACACUAGAAUUUUACCAUUGAACAAAAAAAUUAAUCAUGUUAUUUAUAUUUCAAAGUGUUAACGUCUGGGUCAAAUCGGCUAAACAUUUGUGAAUGAUUGGGGUUAAAGGUACAUAAAUUGUUUUAAUAUUGUCUAUUGGACAUUUUUAAAGUUAAUUGGGUGUGGAUUGAUAACAUAAAUUGUCAAUGAACAUGUAUAUUUGGUCAAAUUAAAUCUAAAAAAUUGUUUAAAAAGAAAUUGAUAUUUGACCAUCCCAAAGUGUACUUGUUAUUUAUUGUUGCCCAUCUAAUUGUUGCAUGUGGAUUCGAACGUCCUUUAGAUUCAAUAAAUUAACCUUGCGAAGUCGAAACCGAGAACUGGACCGAAGCCCCAAGAGUUGAGCAAAUUAUCCCUCCACUUUCAAUGGACCUUGCGGCUCCUUGCCUAUUUCAUCCCUACAUGUGGGUGGCGUCAUGAGAGCCUGUUUCGGAAUUCAAAUGGACUUUUCAUUCUGACUUGCACAUUUUAGGAAUUUUUUAUUUUAUUUUUUUAAUUGAUACUUAAAUACACAUGUCUCGUCUCGCUAUAUCAUUAACAGUUGGUCACACUUUAGAACUUGAAUUGUAGGCAAUCACUUGGAUCAAUCAUUUUCAUCGUGGGUUUGUUUUUUCAUUGAUUGAUAUAUACAUCAUAUGCAACACAUAGGACUGCCCUUGGCACUCCUUUAAUUAGUAAUGUAAUAUUUUACACAGGGCAGUGAAUAUAUACAUAUAGACAGAGGUACCAUCUACCUGGAGAAAUCACCAUUGAACUUAAAUAAAUUUCAGGUGUCUAUCAUCUUCAAACUCUUUACACAAUAUAAAUGAAUCAAGAUUAAGUUGAAAUUUGUAGGGUUUGUGAGUAAAUAAAAAGAGAAGAAAAGGGAGAGAGGAGGAAAAACAUUAUUCUCGUAGGGUAGAAUAAAACCUACUACAGAUUCUACAUCACUCUAAAAUUAUAUAUAAAUAGCAAGAAAAUAAAACUGCCUUUAAUACAGUAAGGCCUAAUAACCCAACUCUCACCCCCUUCAAGUUGGAGCAUAUAGGCUUUGUUUGGAUACACAGGAAAGAAAGGAAAUGAUUAUAAGAGAAAAUAAAUAAAAAAAAAAAAAGAAAAGAAAAGAAAGGAAAUGAGAGCUAUAAUUAUAGGCUUCGUUUGGAUACACAGGAAAGAAAAGAAAGGAAAAGAUUAUAAGAGAAAAUAAAUAAAAGAAAAGAAAAGAAAAGAAAGGAAAUGAUAGCUAUAAUUUAUAUUCAUGUUUGGAUAGAUAGGAGAGAAAAUAAAGUAAUGAGUAAUAUUCUUGUUUGGAUAACAAAGAUGAGAGAAAAGAAAGGAAAAUAAUAAUUAAAAUUACUGUUUUACCCUUUUUUGUGGGGUUAGUAGGACAAAUCAUUUCAGCCACCCCAAUGCCAGCCACCCCAAAUAAUUAAAAUUACUGUUUUACCCUUCUUCUUUUUUUUUUUUUUUUU
Molecule: long non-coding RNA, 3706 nt
Organism: Cornus florida
Lineage: Eukaryota; Viridiplantae; Streptophyta; Magnoliopsida; Cornales; Cornaceae
Exons: 5
Source: RefSeq, a predicted model, not a curated record